AUACGGAGGGUGCAAGCGUUGUCCGGAAUCACUGGGCGUAAAGCAGGUGCAGGCGGCUCGUUAUGUCGGGUGUGAAAUCCCGCGGCUCAACCGCGGAACUGCGCCCGAAACUGGCGAGCUUGAGUGCGAGAGGGGGUGGUGGAAUUCCCGGUGUAGAGGUGAAAUUCGUAGAUAUCGGGAAGAAUACCGGUGGCGAAGGCGACCACCUGGCUCGCUACUGACGCUCAGACCUGAAAGCGUGGGGAGCAAACAGAAUUAGAUACUCUGGUAGUCCACGCUGUAAACUAUGGACACUAGGUGUUGGGGGUGUCGAUUCCCUCAGUGCCGAAGCUAACGCAUUAAGUGUCCCGCCUGGGAAGUACGGCCGCAAGGCUAAA
This 377-nucleotide ribosomal RNA is filed under the name uncultured bacterium. Its description in RNAcentral is "bacterial SSU rRNA". It matches the Rfam family "Bacterial small subunit ribosomal RNA", at positions 523 to 898 of the family's 1533-position model. The record is from RNAcentral.